Molecule: ribosomal RNA, 427 nt
Filed under: Salmonella enterica
Lineage: Bacteria; Pseudomonadati; Pseudomonadota; Gammaproteobacteria; Enterobacterales; Enterobacteriaceae
Also listed under: 2 other names
Description: bacterial SSU rRNA
Rfam family: Bacterial small subunit ribosomal RNA
Source: RNAcentral
CAAGGCGACGAUCCCUAGCUGGUCUGAGAGGAUGACCAGCCACACUGGAACUGAGACACGGUCCAGACUCCUACGGGAGGCAGCAGUGGGGAAUAUUGCACAAUGGGCGCAAGCCUGAUGCAGCCAUGCCGCGUGUAUGAAGAAGGCCUUCGGGUUGUAAAGUACUUUCAGCGGGGAGGAAGGUGUUGUGGUUAAUAACCGCAGCAAUUGACGUUACCCGCAGAAGAAGCACCGGCUAACUCCGUGCCAGCAGCCGCGGUAAUACGGAGGGUGCAAGCGUUAAUCGGAAUUACUGGGCGUAAAGCGCACGCAGGCGGUCUGUCAAGUCGGAUGUGAAAUCCCCGGGCUCAACCUGGGAACUGCAUUCGAAACUGGCAGGCUUGAGUCUUGUAGAGGGGGGUAGAAUUCCAGGUGUAGCGGUGAAAUG